UGUGUAGGCGGCCUUUUAAGUUUGGUGUGAAAUCUCCCGGCUCAACUGGGAGGGUGCGCCGAAUACUGAAAGGCUAGAGUGCGGGAGAGGAGAGUGGAAUUCCUGGUGUAGCGGUGAAAUGCGUAGAUAUCAGGAGGAACACCGGCGGUGUAGACGGCUCUCUGGACCGUAACUGACGCUGAGACACGAAAGCGUGGGUAGCAAACAGGAUUAGAUACCCUGGUAGUCCACGCCCUAAACGAUGCACAUUUGGUGUGGGUCAUUCAGUUGAUCCGUGCCGGAGCUAACGCGUUAAAUGUGCCGCCUGGGGAGUACAGUCGCAAGGCUGAA
RNAcentral lists this ribosomal RNA (330 nucleotides) under uncultured bacterium. RNAcentral's name for it is "bacterial SSU rRNA". It matches the Rfam family "Bacterial small subunit ribosomal RNA", at positions 568 to 898 of the family's 1533-position model. The record is from RNAcentral.